This 1449-nucleotide long non-coding RNA is filed under the name Bos grunniens (domestic yak). RNAcentral describes it as "lncRNA (ENSBGRG00000012672.1)". Lineage: Eukaryota; Metazoa; Chordata; Mammalia; Artiodactyla; Bovidae. The record is from RNAcentral.
UGCCUGACUCUUCACGAACCCGUAGACUGCAGCCCACCAGCUCCUUUGUUCAUGGAAUUCUCCAGGCAAGAAUACUGCAGUGGAUUGUCCUUUUCUUCUCCAGGAUAUCUUCCUGACCCAGGGGUUGAACCCAGGUCCAUCUGAGCCACCAGUAAGCCCCUCUUUUGAACCAUCUGCCUCUUGCUCUGAUUAACUGCUCCAGGCCCUCAUGAGCCCUGUGUUAUUUAAGCAUCGUGUUUACAUGCAGUUUUAUGGUGAAAAGUGUUAACUCCCUAUGGCAGUGGCUUUAACACCAGAAACCUUCAGUUGGGUUCCUUAGUCAUUGGUCACAAGUUAUCCUUCAUAGGUCCUUCUCAGGAUGGAAAAGGCAGCAGGGAGACACUUUCCUUCUAAAUUCACAUCUAGAUCAUGGUCUUUCUCCCUUCUCUAGCCUGUACAGCACAGCAGCUUUCCUAUUUGAGAGGGCGUUUGUGGACUUACUACACGGAGCUCAGGCAAAUCGCAGCACUUGGCUGGCUGGGCCCACGUGAAACCUGUCAGAGGUCAGCAGGCCCUUCCUGUAGACUCACCUCUGAGGGUCAUACACCUUUUCAUCUCCUGUGAUGCUUUCAUCCUUGGUCCUCUGUCUGAGGAAGGAGGGGUCUCUCCGGCUGGGCCCCUGGAGCCCCCAUCUGUGGCUUCUGUGUAGCAUCCAGUGACCCCAGAGCCCAGGCUGAGCAGGCAGUGCUACUUGGUGGGGCUGGCUGAGCUCACCUGGGUGGGGACUCCCUUUCCUGCACUUCUGUCUGGGCUCUGUGCUUGCCCAUCCCACCAUCCACACUAAUUCCUGUUUUAUACCACUCUCCCUUCCCUCCUUCAGGGCCACACAAUCUUGGGUGUUCGGACUGCUGACGCCCAUGGAAUGCGGAAGGAUGCCUUGAUUGUGGGGAAUCUCUGAUGGUUCACGCUGUUUUGUUUUUUUUUUUUUUUUCACGUAAGGGUUGACAUCUUUAUUUUUAAAAUUUGUAUUGGAGUAUAGUUGCUUUAUAAUACUGUGUUGGUUUCUGCUGUUCAGAAAAGUGAAUUGCCUAUAUAUAUUCCCUCUUUUAUUGGAUCUCCUUCCCAUUUAGGUAACCACAGACCAUUUAGCAGAGGUGAUGGUUCACACUUAAAUCCCGAUCCCAGGGCAAUUCUCUUGUAUUGUUAGGGCUAACUUUAGACGUUUCCAUUAACAGUGAAACCUACUAUCAGAAUACUCCAGAGGUAGGGGGCAAAAACCUCUCAAUUUGGGGUCAAAUUACAAGUUAAUAAGCAAAGUUGCUAAAGAGCUCUGAAACCUUGGUUUAGGGGCUAAAGAGGAAAUACUUGAAGCCAAGGGGGACGGUGUCUGGUGCUCAGUUGCCCAUAUUUACAUCUGACUCCUUCCACUGAGGGUCUCACCUCAAUUCACAGUCUUGUUUUCAGGAACUG